Molecule: ribosomal RNA, 801 nt
Filed under: Ektaphelenchus berbericus
Lineage: Eukaryota; Metazoa; Nematoda; Chromadorea; Rhabditida; Aphelenchoididae
Description: SSU rRNA
Rfam family: Eukaryotic small subunit ribosomal RNA
Source: RNAcentral
GGGUGCAUUUAUUGGCGCAAAAUCAUUCACUGAAUGUUUGCUUAAUCUGGAUAACCUAGCAUAUCGCAUGGUCUUGAACCGGCGAAGUUUCUGUCAAGUAUCUGCCUUAUCAACUGUCGUUGGUGCUGUAUUGGAGUACCACGGUAUUAACGAGUAACGGAGAAUCAGGGUUCGACUCCGGAGAGGGAGCCUUAGAAACGGCUACCAUGUCUAAGGAUAGCAGCAGGCGCGAAAAUUACCCAAUGUCAAAACGACGAGGUAGUGACGAGAAAUAACAAGACCGUUCUCUUUGAGGUCGGUCAUUGGAAUGAGUACAAUCCAGAAACUUUAACGAGUAUCUACGAGAGGGCAAGUCUGGUGCCAGCAGCCGCGGUAAUUCCAGCUCUCGUAAGGUAUAGAAUUAUUGCUGUGGUUAAAAAGUUCGUAGUUGGAUUGUUGUGUUGGCUCGGGUCUGCCCUUUGGGUUAGUACUCGAUGCCUUCUAAUUUGUGCGUUUAGCGCGUUGGGUGCUUGCAUUCGGCGUGCGGCGUACAGGAUUACUUUGAACGGCUCAAGUGCUUAAAGCACGUCUUAUGACUGAAUACCGGUGCAUGGAAUAAUGGAACAAGGCUUCGGCCGGGUUUUGAUUGGUUUUGCCGGCUGAAACAAUGGUUAACAGGAACAGUCGGGGGCAUUCGUAUCGCUGCGCGAGAGGUGAAAUUCGUGGACCGUAGCGAGACGCCCAAAAGCGAAGGCACUUGCCAAGAGUGUUUUCAUUAAUCAAGAACGAAAGUCAGAGGUUCGAAGGCGAUUAGAUACCGCC